CUAAAUAUAGUAUGUUUAGGUGCUUUUAAAAGAAGUGAAAAGGGAAUGUGGUUAAAAUCCACAGCAGCCCCCGCUACUGUAAAUGAGGACGAACCUUAAUAGCCACUCGUAAGAGGAAGGUGAGGUGUAGAGUGAUUCAUGAGCCAGGAGACCUGCCUAAAUUUCAAAACAAUC
RNAcentral lists this non-coding RNA (174 nucleotides) under Clostridium sp. RNAcentral also lists the same sequence under 1 other name. Lineage: Bacteria; Bacillati; Bacillota; Clostridia; Eubacteriales; Clostridiaceae. The record is from RNAcentral.